GAUGUAAUUUCUCUUUUACAGAGCCACCUAAGCUGAAGAUUCCCUUGAGAACAAGUACAGUCCCUAGUUUCCCAGUGCUGGAAUAUAGAAAAUGGAUGGACAAGUAAAUCCCACUCAGCACCCAUAGUCCAGGCAUGGGGACCUCAACACACCUGAGCCCCAGACAUCACCUUUCAUUCUGGAUCUACCAUGAAAGACUUCUGAAUCCAGGAAGAGAGACUGACUGGGCAACAUGUUAUU
RNAcentral lists this long non-coding RNA (240 nucleotides) under Pan troglodytes (chimpanzee). Its description in RNAcentral is "lincRNA". The record is from RNAcentral. Lineage: Eukaryota; Metazoa; Chordata; Mammalia; Primates; Hominidae.